Molecule: ribosomal RNA, 450 nt
Filed under: uncultured bacterium
Lineage: Bacteria
Description: bacterial SSU rRNA
Rfam family: Bacterial small subunit ribosomal RNA
Source: RNAcentral
GAGCGGUAACAGGCGUAGCAAUACGUGCUGACGAGCGGCGAACGGGUGAGUAACGCUUCGGAAUCUGCCCAAUGGUGGGGAAUAACCAGCCGAAAGGUUGGCUAAUACCGCAUGAGCCCUACGGGGGAAAGCGGGGGAUCGCAAGACCUCGCGCCGAUGGAUGAGCCGAAGCCGGAUUAGCUAGUUGGUAGGGUAACGGCCUACCAAGGCGACGAUCCGUAGCUGGUCUGAGAGGACGACCAGCCACACUGGGACUGAGACACGGCCCAGACUCCUACGGGAGGCAGCAGUAGGGAAUAUUGGACAAUGGGGGAAACCCUGAUCCAGCGACGCCGCGUGUGUGAAGAAGGCCUGCGGGUUGUAAAGCACUUUUAGUGGGGAUGAAAAGCUCAGAGCUAACACCUCUGGGUCUUGACCUAACCCACAGAAAAAGCACCGGCUAACUCUGUG